This 612-nucleotide ribosomal RNA is filed under the name Lycus sp. UPOL MK0638. RNAcentral's name for it is "partial 16S large subunit ribosomal RNA". The stretch from base 388 to 546 matches the Rfam family "Bacterial large subunit ribosomal RNA", at positions 2473 to 2632 of the family's 2925-position model. The record is from RNAcentral. Lineage: Eukaryota; Metazoa; Arthropoda; Insecta; Coleoptera; Lycidae.
UUAACAAAAACAUGUCUUUUUGAGAAUAAUUUAAAGUCUAAUCUGCUCAAUGAAGAUUAAAUUGCCGCAGUAUUUUGACUGUGCAAAGGUAGCAUAAUAAUUAGCUUCUUAAUUAGAAGCUGGAAUGAAUGAUUGGACAAGAAAAUUUCUGUCUCUAUUUAAAUGUUUAUUGAAUUUUAUUUUUAAGUUAAAAAGCUUAAGUUUAUAUAAAAGACGAGAAGACCCUAUAGAGUUUAAUAUUUUUUAUUUAUUUGAUUUUAGAAUUUUUUUUGAAUUUUAAAUAUUUAAUUGGGGUGAUUUAAAGAUUUGAAUAAUUCUUUAAUUUUUUUAUUGAUGAUAAUUAAGUUUUAAAUCUAUAUUUUUAAAUUUAAUAUAAAUUACCUUAGGGAUAACAGCGUAAUUUUUCUUUAAAGCUCUUAUUAAAAGAAGAUUUUGCGACCUCGAUGUUGGAUUAAAAUUAAUUUUUGGUGCAGUAACUUAAAAAUUAGGUCUGUUCGACCUUUAAAAUUUUACAUGAUCUGAGUUUAAACCGGUGUAAGCCAGGUUGGAUUCUAUCUUUAGAUUUAUUACAUAUUUUAGUACGAAAGGACCAAAUAUUUAUUAUAAUAAUUG